ACGGAAGGCAGCAGUGGGGAAUAUUGGGCAAUGGGCGAAAGCCUGACCCAGCAACGCCGCGUGAGGGAAGAAGGUUUUCGGAUUGUAAACCUCUGUCCUUGGUGACGAAGGAAGUGACGGUAGCCAAGGAGGAAGCCCCGGCUAACUACGUGCCAGCAGCCGCGGUAAUACGUAGGGGGCGAGCGUUGUCCGGAAUGACUGGGCGUAAAGGGCGUGUAGGCGGCGCUGUAAGUCCGGAGUGAAAGUCCUGCUUUCAAGGUGGGAAUUGCUUUGGAGACUGCAGAGCUUGAGUACGGAAGAGGUAAGUGGAAUUCCCGGUGUAGCGGUGAAAUGCGUAGAGAUCGGGAGGAACACCAGUGGCGAAGGCGACUUACUGGGCCGUAACUGACGCUGAGGCGCGAUGGCGUGGGGAGCAAACAGGAUUAGAUACCCUGGUA
Molecule: ribosomal RNA, 437 nt
Filed under: uncultured bacterium
Lineage: Bacteria
Description: partial 16S ribosomal RNA
Rfam family: Bacterial small subunit ribosomal RNA
Source: RNAcentral